This 475-nucleotide ribosomal RNA is filed under the name Escherichia coli. Its description in RNAcentral is "partial 23S ribosomal RNA". It matches the Rfam family "Bacterial large subunit ribosomal RNA", at positions 1291 to 1766 of the family's 2925-position model. Lineage: Bacteria; Pseudomonadati; Pseudomonadota; Gammaproteobacteria; Enterobacterales; Enterobacteriaceae. The record is from RNAcentral.
CGAAUGCUGACAUAAGUAACGAUAAAGCGGGUGAAAAGCCCGCUCGCCGGAAGACCAAGGGUUCCUGUCCAACGUUAAUCGGGGCAGGGUGAGUCGACCCCUAAGGCGAGGCCGAAAGGCGUAGUCGAUGGGAAACAGGUUAAUAUUCCUGUACUUGGUGUUACUGCGAAGGGGGGACGGAGAAGGCUAUGUUGGCCGGGCGACGGUUGUCCCGGUUUAAGCGUGUAGGCUGGUUUUCCAGGCAAAUCCGGAAAAUCAAGGCUGAGGCGUGAUGACGAGGCACUACGGUGCUGAAGCAACAAAUGCCCUGCUUCCAGGAAAAGCCUCUAAGCAUCAGGUAACAUCAAAUCGUACCCCAAACCGACACAGGUGGUCAGGUAGAGAAUACCAAGGCGCUUGAGAGAACUCGGGUGAAGGAACUAGGCAAAAUGGUGCCGUAACUUCGGGAGAAGGCACGCUGAUACGUAGGUGAAGC